Lepisosteus oculatus (spotted gar) is the source of this 789-nucleotide non-coding RNA. NCBI's taxonomy places the organism in Eukaryota, Metazoa, Chordata, Actinopteri, Semionotiformes, Lepisosteidae. The record is from RefSeq and is a predicted model, not a curated record.
CUUGGAGACGGCUACACUGUGACCAAACCCCCAUGUCGAUUUAUUUCUCCUGCUUGUCAGUAUGCGCCCGGGGGGUGGGGGGUCGCAACCUGACGUUGCCGAUAUUUCUGACACCGAAUCUGCUCCAGGCAGCUCAGGAAACACCGGCCUCUGCCUGAGCUGACGCGCCGUCUGGCGAGGUUCAGAGACCGUCUGGCGGUGCACAGGCCGGGCGCCCUCUUUUCUCUCUUUUUUUUCUUUUCUGUUCGCUUCUCCAUCGCCAGGGGUCGUGUCUGCCUCCGUCUCAGCCCUCGUUUCUCACUCUCUCUCCCAAAUGAGACUGAAUAUCCAGCGGCUCUGAAAACCCCCCUCGCACUCAACACUGCUGCGCACUACAAAAAAUGGCGGAUAGAUACUGAAUCCACACCAGACAAAAAAUACAUACAUACAAAUCCCUGCAAAGCGGAGAGUGGAGCGUGGAUUGGCCCGCGUUGAGGGACUGGUCAGUACUACCGGAGCAUGAGGAAGCCGGGGCGUCAGAGAGCUAUCGAGUGGAAAGAUGAGAGACGACACAAACACGCGCGGAGCGGACGGCCCUCCCGGACGCCGCCGCAGUACCAGGGACACUUCAGCUGGGAGAAGUAUCUGAAAGAGACAGGUGCCGUAGCUGCCCCCGCCCACUGUUUCAGACAGGAGACUGAAGGGUUGCGGAGUGAGACGCGUCUGGCAUGACCCUUGUAGGAAUAUCUCCGUUUGGGGCCACUAGCAUAUCCUCUGCAUCGGGAGGGCAGAGUGAGCAGCAGAAUGUAC